This 317-nucleotide ribosomal RNA is filed under the name uncultured Chloroflexota bacterium. RNAcentral's name for it is "bacterial SSU rRNA". It matches the Rfam family "Bacterial small subunit ribosomal RNA", at positions 1058 to 1386 of the family's 1533-position model. Lineage: Bacteria; Bacillati; Chloroflexota. The record is from RNAcentral.
GGGCGUAAGAGCUGAGGUGUUGGGUUAAGUCCCGCAACGAGCGCAACCCCUGUCGCCAGUUGUAUUUUCUGGCGAGACUGCCGAGAAAACCUCGGAGGAAGGAGGGGACGAUGUCAGGUCAGCGUGGCCCUUACGCCUGGGGCUACACACACGCUACAAUGGGUCGUACAACGGGCUGCGAAGCCGCGAGGCGGAGCCAAUCCCAUCAAAGCGAUCCUCAGUUCGGAUUGCAGGCUGAAACCCGCCUGCAUGAAGCCGGAGUUGCUAGUAACCGCAGGUCAGCAUUACUGCGGUGAAUACGUUCCCGGGCCUUGUAC